Molecule: ribosomal RNA, 496 nt
Filed under: uncultured bacterium
Lineage: Bacteria
Description: partial 16S ribosomal RNA
Rfam family: Bacterial small subunit ribosomal RNA
Source: RNAcentral
GACGAACGCUGGCGGCGUGCCUAUACAUGCAAGUAGAACGCUGAAGAGAGGAGCUUGCUCUUCUUGGAUGAGUUGCGAACGGGUGAGUAACGCGUAGGUAACCUGCCUGGUAGCGGGGGAUAACUAUUGGAAACGAUAGCUAAUACCGCAUAAAAUUGAUUAUUUCAUGAUAAUUAAUUUAAAGAUGCAACUGCAUUACUACCAGAUGGACCUGCGUUGUAUUAGCUAGUUGGUGAGGUAACGGCUCAACAAGGCGACGAUACAUAGCCGACCUGAGAGGGUGAUCGGCCACACUGGGACUGAGACACGGCCCAGACUCCUACGGGAGGCAGCAGUAGGGAAUCUUCGGCAAUAGGGGGAACCCUGACCGAGCAACGCCGCGUGAGUGAAGAAGGUUUUCGGAUCGUAAAGCUCUGUUGUAAGAGAAGAACGGGUGUGAGAGUGGAAAGUUCACACUGUGACGGUACCUUACCAGAAAGGGACGGCUAACUACGUG